RNAcentral lists this ribosomal RNA (404 nucleotides) under uncultured bacterium. Its description in RNAcentral is "bacterial SSU rRNA". It matches the Rfam family "Bacterial small subunit ribosomal RNA", at positions 355 to 775 of the family's 1533-position model. The record is from RNAcentral.
UGAGGAAUAUUGCACAAUGGGCGAAAGCCUGAUGCAGCAACGCCGCGUGAGGGACGAAGGCCUUCGGGUCGUAAACCUCUUUUCUGGGGGACGAGUAAGGACGGUACCUCAGGAAUAAGUCUCGGCUAACUACGUGCCAGCAGCCGCGGUAAAACGUAGGAGGCUAGCGUUAUCCGGAUUUACUGGGCGUAAAGCGUACGCAGGUGGCUUCGUGAGUCGGACAUGAAAGCUCCCGGCUUAACUGGGAGAGGUUGUUCGAUACUGCGGGGCUUGAGGUUGGGAGAGGGACGUGGAAUUCCCGGUGUAGUGGUGGAAUGCGUAGAUAUCGGGAGGAACACCAGUGGCGCAAGCGGCGUCCUGGCCCACACCUGACGCUGAGGUACGAAAGCGUGGGUAGCAAACAG